GGGAUACAGUUAAGAUGUGGUGGCAAGAGAACUGAAUGUCUCAGAAAAUGUUAUAAAAAUUAAAUUUCAACCAGGGAGCUGUUGUCAGAAAUUUGGUAUUUUAUUUUACCACCAAUCCUAAAAAAAUUGGUUUGCCACUUAUAUUUCCUAAAAAAAAAAAAAAAUAAAUAGAUAGAUAAGCAAACAGCAACAACAACCAACUGGAUACUUACAUUUUUAAUUACUUCCUUGUUUCAGUACCUCAAUCAUACCUCAGUACAUUUUAAGAGAUUGAAGUACUUAGAAGCUAUAAAACCAUUAUUAUUAUUAUUAUUAUUAUUUUAUUAUUAUUGCUCUUAUGAAUGCUAUGUCUGUCAUGAAAAAGCUAAGUUCAGUGUAUGUGCUAUUAGUUGGAGUUUUCUGUGAUUUUGCCACUGUAGCUCCCACAUGUGUGGAGUACUAGAUCUCAUGGCUUGGUUAUUUUAUACCUCAGGGUUCUUAACCAGGGCACAGGCAACAAGUUUCCAACCACCAGCUGUGAUGCAUUGGUUGUGAUGGUGCUAGAUGUGUAGCUCCUACACAGUCUGGUGGUCAUGGAUGUCAUGUGUUGUGGUUUCCUCCUUUGUCCACGCCAGGAAAGCCUGCUCUCCUGCCAUGUGACUCCUCUGUUAUGUAACUCUAAACCACAACUGUGAGGAUGAGCAAACACUGACAAGGCUCUAUGGUUUGCAGACAGAUUCAACUAUGUCCUUCAAGGGAGUCUUCAUUUAGGUUUGGGGCCUCCAUACUGAUCUCUUGGUACUGUCUCUCCCCAUCUCUAAAAGAAGUCCAUGAUGUCAGCUACAUUACAGACUUGUGUUUUUUUUGUUGUUUUUUUUUUGUUUGUUUGUUUUUUGUUCAGACCCCAGAUUUCACAUUCAUUUUCUGGUGUAAAUUAAUUAGAAGUUUCGGUGUAAGUGCAACAACUUGCUCCUGAUAAUACAUUUCUCUCCACUACUUUCUACUGCUAGUAUAAUUUCCCUUAAGGUAAUGAUAACUUUUAAUACUUGAACCUAUGGACUGCUGAAAGUCAGCAGCUAAGCAAGGAGUCUCUGUUG
Molecule: long non-coding RNA, 1076 nt
Filed under: Cairina moschata (Muscovy duck)
Lineage: Eukaryota; Metazoa; Chordata; Aves; Anseriformes; Anatidae
Description: domestica (muscovy Duck (domestic type)) lncRNA (ENSCMMG00000012322.1)
Source: RNAcentral